GAUGAACGCUGGCGGCGUGCCUAAUACAUGCAAGUCGAGCGAACGGACGAGAAGCUUGCUUCUCUGAUGUUAGCGGCGGACGGGUGAGUAACACGUGGAUGACCUACCUAUAAGACUGGGAUAACUUCGGGAAACCGGAGCUAAUACCGGAUAAUAUUUUGAACCGCAUGGUUCAAAAGUGAAAGACGGUCUUGCUGUCACUUAUAGAUGGAUCCGCGCUGCAUUAGCUAGUUGGUAAGGUAACGGCUUACCAAGGCAACGAUGCAUAGCCGACCUGAGAGGGUGAUCGGCCACACUGGAACUGAGACACGGUCCAGACUCCUACGGGAGGCAGCAGUAGGGAAUCUUCCGCAAUGGGCGAAAGCCUGACGGAGCAACGCCGCGUGAGUGAUGAAGGUCUUCGGAUCGUAAAACUCUGUUAUUAGGGAAGAACAUAUGUGUAAGUAACUGUGCACAUCUUGACGGUACCUAAUCAGAAAGCCACGGCUAACUACGUGCCAGCAGCCGCGGUAAUACGUAGGUGGCAAGCGUUAUCCGGAAUUAUUGAGCGUAAAGCGCGCGUAGGCGGUUUUUUAAGUCUGAUGUGAAAGCCCACGGCUCAACCGUGGAGGGUCAUUGGAAACUGGAAAACUUGAGUGCAGAAGAGGAAAGUGGAAUUCCAUGUGUAGCGGUGAAAUGCGCAGAGAUAUGGAGGAACACCAGUGGCGAAGGCGACUUUCUGGUCUGUAACUGACGCUGAUGUGCGAAAGCGUGGGGAUCAAACAGGAUUAGAUACCCUGGUAGUCCACGCCGUAAACGAUGAGUGCUAAGUGUUAGGGGGUUUCCGCCCCUUAGUGCUGCAGCUAACGCAUUAAGCACUCCGCCUGGGGAGUACGACCGCAAGGUUGAAACUCAAAGGAAUUGACGGGGACCCGCACAAGCGGUGGAGCAUGUGGUUUAAUUCGAAGCAACGCGAAGAACCUUACCAAAUCUUGACAUCCUUUGACAACUCUAGAGAUAGAGCCUUCCCCUUCGGGGGACAAAGUGACAGGUGGUGCAUGGUUGUCGUCAGCUCGUGUCGUGAGAUGUUGGGUUAAGUCCCGCAACGAGCGCAACCCUUAAGCUUAGUUGCCAUCAUUAAGUUGGGCACUCUAAGUUGACUGCCGGUGACAAACCGGAGGAAGGUGGGGAUGACGUCAAAUCAUCAUGCCCCUUAUGAUUUGGGCUACACACGUGCUACAAUGGACAAUACAAAGGGCAGCGAAACCGCGAGGUCAAGCAAAUCCCAUAAAGUUGUUCUCAGUUCGGAUUGUAGUCUGCAACUCGACUACAUGAAGCUGGAAUCGCUAGUAAUCGUAGAUCAGCAUGCUACGGUGAAUACGUUCCCGGGUCU
This 1372-nucleotide ribosomal RNA is filed under the name uncultured bacterium. RNAcentral describes it as "bacterial SSU rRNA". It matches the Rfam family "Bacterial small subunit ribosomal RNA", at positions 28 to 1381 of the family's 1533-position model. The record is from RNAcentral.